UCGGGUGUCGCCAAGUGGUAAGGCAAAGGACUCUGAAUCCUUUAUGCGUAGGUUCGAAUCCUACCACCCGAGCCA
This 75-nucleotide transfer RNA is filed under the name Candidatus Peregrinibacteria bacterium. Its description in RNAcentral is "tRNA-Gln". It matches the Rfam family "tRNA". From Rfam's summary of the family: Transfer RNA (tRNA) molecules are approximately 80 nucleotides in length. Their secondary structure includes four short double-helical elements and three loops (D, anti-codon, and T loops). Lineage: Bacteria; Candidatus Peregrinibacteriota. The record is from RNAcentral.